This 253-nucleotide ribosomal RNA is filed under the name uncultured bacterium. RNAcentral describes it as "partial 16S ribosomal RNA". It matches the Rfam family "Bacterial small subunit ribosomal RNA", at positions 524 to 776 of the family's 1533-position model. The record is from RNAcentral.
UACGUAGGAUGCAAGCGUUGUUCGGAAUUACUGGGCGUAAAGAGUACGUAGGCGGUUUGAUAAGUCUGCUCUUAAAGACUGGAGCUUAACUCCAGGACUGUAGUGGAAACUGUCAGACUAGAGGACAAUAGAGGAAGUCGGAAUUCUCAGUGUAGCGGAGAAAUGCGUAGAUAUUGGGAAGAACACCAGUGGCGAAAGCGGACUUCUGGGUUGUUACUGACGCUGAGGUACGAAAGCGUGGGGAGCAAACGGG